GACGAACGCUGGCGGCGUGCUUAACACAUGCAAGUCGAACGGAAAGGCCCUGCUUUUGUGGGGUGCUCGAGUGGCGAACGGGUGAGUAACACGUGAGUAACCUGCCCUUGACUUUGGGAUAACUUCAGGAAACUGGGGCUAAUACCGGAUAGGAGCUCCUGCUGCAUGGUGGGGGUUGGAAAGUUUCGGCGGUUGGGGAUGGACUCGCGGCUUAUCAGCUUGUUGGUGGGGUAGUGGCUUACCAAGGCUUUGACGGGUAGCCGGCCUGAGAGGGUGACCGGCGACAUUGGGACUGAGAUACGGCCCAGACUCCUACGGGAGGCAGCAGUGGGGAAUAUUACACAAUGGGCGGAAGCCUGAUGCAGCAACGCCGCGUGCGGGAUGACGGCCUUCGGGUUGUAAACCGCUUUCGCCUGUGACGAAGCGUGAGUGACGGUAAUGGGUAAAGAAGCACCGGCUAACUACGUG
This 468-nucleotide ribosomal RNA is filed under the name uncultured bacterium. RNAcentral's name for it is "partial 16S ribosomal RNA". It matches the Rfam family "Bacterial small subunit ribosomal RNA", at positions 28 to 507 of the family's 1533-position model. The record is from RNAcentral.